This 253-nucleotide ribosomal RNA is filed under the name uncultured bacterium. Its description in RNAcentral is "partial 16S ribosomal RNA". It matches the Rfam family "Bacterial small subunit ribosomal RNA", at positions 524 to 776 of the family's 1533-position model. The record is from RNAcentral.
UACGUAGGGGGCAAGCGUUGUCCGGAAUCAUUGGGCGUAAAGCGCGUGUAGGCGGCCCGGUAAGUCCGCUGUGAAAGUCGGGGGCUCAACCCUCGAAUGCCGGUGGAUACUGUCGGGCUAGAGUACGGAAGAGGCGAGUGGAAUUCCUGGUGUAGCGGUGAAAUGCGCAGAUAUCGGGAAGAACACCCGUGGCGAAGGCGGCUCUCUGGGACGGUACUGACGCUGAGACGCGAAAGCGUGGGGAGCGAACAGG